This 252-nucleotide ribosomal RNA is filed under the name uncultured bacterium. RNAcentral describes it as "partial 16S ribosomal RNA". It matches the Rfam family "Bacterial small subunit ribosomal RNA", at positions 524 to 775 of the family's 1533-position model. The record is from RNAcentral.
UACGUAGGUGGCAAGCGUUGUCCGGAGUUAUUGGGCGUAAAGCGCGCGCAGGCGGUGGGGUAAGUCCAUGGUGAAAGCGCCCGGCUCAACUGGGCGAGUGCCGUGGGGACUGCCGCGCUGGAGUGGAGCAGAGGCGAGUGGAAUUCCGGGUGUAGUGGUGAAAUGCGUAGAGAUCCGGAGGAACACCAGUGGCGAAGGCGGCUCGCUGGGCUUUGACUGACGCUGAGGCGCGAAGGCGUGGGGAGCGAACCG